This 128-nucleotide non-coding RNA is filed under the name uncultured alveolate. The record is from RNAcentral.
GCAUCGACAAGAGCAUCAGCGAGCUGACUCUCGAGGAGGGCAGCGGGAGCCCGUCCAAGGGCGGCAAAGGAGGGGUGAAAUUCAGCAGCCCGGUAUGGCUGCAGCGAAUGCGGCUGGCUAUCGACCUU